ACGGCCCUACCCGAAUAGGAUCUGUUUUAUAGGUUCGUACCUCUGCGUCCUUAAGCUCCAAGCUCUAACACGUGUCUGGUGGGCGAACCGUGACCCUAUGGUCAGGAUGCGGCUGACAGUGGUGUAGGUGGUCGCAGGGUUGUCUGACAGUUC
This 153-nucleotide small nucleolar RNA is filed under the name Vigna radiata var. radiata (mung bean). RNAcentral describes it as "snoRNA Plant_U3". The record is from RNAcentral. Lineage: Eukaryota; Viridiplantae; Streptophyta; Magnoliopsida; Fabales; Fabaceae.